RNAcentral lists this ribosomal RNA (253 nucleotides) under uncultured bacterium. Its description in RNAcentral is "partial 16S ribosomal RNA". It matches the Rfam family "Bacterial small subunit ribosomal RNA", at positions 524 to 776 of the family's 1533-position model. The record is from RNAcentral.
UACGUAGGUGGCGAGCGUUGUCCGGAAUCAUUGGGCGUAAAGGGCGCGUAGGCGGAUUUUUAAGUCUGGUGUGAAAUAUAGGGGCUCAACCCCUAGACUGCAUCGGAAACUGGGAAUCUUGAGGACAGGAGAGGAAAGUGGAAUUCCACGUGUAGCGGUGAAAUGCGUAGAGAUGUGGAGGAACACCAGUGGCGAAGGCGACUUUCUGGACUGUAACUGACGCUGAGGCGCGAAAGCGUGGGGAGCAAACAGG